AGAACGUGGCAAAAUCCCACCCUUAGCAGCUACAGUGCAAAUGUUUUUGACCCCUGAUUGCCUUAGACCUACUUUUUUCUCUGGCCUAGGAGUGGAGCACAGCUAAAGCAUGUGCAAUUUGCUUUGGGAUGCUGUUGAAAGAUUUGUGGCAUGGCCAGAACGACAUGGUUUCCCACAAGCGAUUUUUAGUUUUCCGUGAAGAGUUGGCAAUGCUGGGGUAUAUGCCACUGGAUGCGAUUUCUGCUCCCCAUUCACAGCUCUAUGGCAUUCCUUUCCAGCGUGAAGCCAUAGCAAUGCUCAGCUCUCAAAGCAAAAAUCGAUGCAGCCAUUAGCUAUGCUAAAUUGAAAUCUUAUGAACUACGGUGUGGUUACAUAAAAUGCCAAUUAGUAUGUGGUUUACAUUGUUGCACAUAAAUGUUUUUCAUUAUAUUUUACUGUCAGCAAAUGCUGGUGUGAAACCAGUUUCCAUUCCUCAUAUGGCCACCAUGAGGAGUUUCAGAAAACACACCAGCACGGCUGAACUAUUCCUUCAGAUUUGUUGUUCGCCCGUCCCCCGGCAACUUCGACUUCUCCACCCAAAGCGACAGGAAUGGAAAUUUUCAUCAUGGAUGGGCACAGCAUAAAAUGCGGCAUUUGUUUGUUCAGCCUCUGUUGCGACAUACGCUCUCCGCUCUCAUGCACGCAUCAAAGCCUGAACAAGUGCAGAAACGGCAGCUCCCGCUUGCUGCUACUGCUGUUUGUUGUGGUUAUAAAAUCCUAUUUUAGAUAAUGUUGCUUCGUCGAUAAAGCGUUGAGUCAUAGGAUCUGAGAGAUAUUGUACAAAUAACCACUGGGGGCCCGUAUCUAUUAAGCUGUCUAGGAUGCUUCCUAUUAAAUAAUAACCAAAUGCCGUAAUAAUAA
Long non-coding RNA from Gavialis gangeticus (Gharial), 900 nucleotides. RefSeq lists it as uncharacterized. The transcript is spliced from 2 exons. Lineage: Eukaryota; Metazoa; Chordata; Crocodylia; Gavialidae. The record is from RefSeq and is a predicted model, not a curated record.